GCGCGAAAACUUUACAAUGCUGGCAACAGCGAUAAGGGGACCUCGAGUGCCAGGUUACAAAUCUGGCUGUCGAGAUGCCUAAAAAGCAUUUCAUAGCAAGGGCCGGGCAAGACCGGUGCCAGCCGCCGCGGUAACACCGGCGGCUCGAGUGGUAACCGCUAUUAUUUGGUCUAAAGGGUCUGUAGCCGGCCGAAUAAGUCUUUUGGGAAAUCUGGCUGCUCAACAGUCAGGCUAUCAGGAGAUACUGUUCGGCUCGAGGCCGGGAGAGGUGAGAGGUACUUCAGGGGUAGGGGUGAAAUCUUGUAAUCCUUGAAGGACCACCAGUGGCGAAGGCGUCUCACCAGAACGGGCCUGACGGCAAGGGACGAAAGCUAGGGGCACGAACCGGAUUAGAUACCCGGGUAGUCCUAGCCGUAAACGAUACUCGCUAGGUGUCGGCCACGGUGCGACCGUGGUCGGUGCCGUAGGGAAGCCGUGAAGCGAGCCACCUGGGAAGUACGGCCGCAAGGCUGAAACUUAAAGGAAUUGGCGGGGGAGCAACG
RNAcentral lists this ribosomal RNA (542 nucleotides) under uncultured Methanosarcinales archaeon. RNAcentral's name for it is "bacterial SSU rRNA". It matches the Rfam family "Archaeal small subunit ribosomal RNA", at positions 339 to 881 of the family's 1478-position model. Lineage: Archaea; Methanobacteriati; Methanobacteriota; Methanomicrobia; Methanosarcinales. The record is from RNAcentral.